CAAGUGGGGCAGCGGCAGCCGCCACCCGUGACGAGCGCAGAUCUUAUCGGCAGAAGGAAGUACUGAGCUGCUGGGCUGCUCUUCUCUGAAGCCACCGGAUUUACCAGGUCUCCAAAAUGACCAAUUUUGCCAAGGAUGCAGCUCACUGGCAUUUUCUCAGAGGCAGUGGUAACUACCAUUAUCACAACAGGAGCUGUGCAAACCUGACUUUUGCUUUGCUGAAGACCUCCAGGUAAAAGGAAAACCCCUGCGUACGCCUGGAAAUCACAUCAGUGAUUCAAUAGGUGACAUUCUUCUGAGUGACAUGUGACUGGUGAGGUGCAAGAUUGCUUUGUUCUUCGCAAGACUCAUCCAAGUCAUUGGACAGUGAAUAUUAUCAUGUCCUUUUGGAAGAUCAUGGCUUCGUCUCAUCUUCACCUUGAUAAAAAAGCAAGGAACAAAGUUGGACAAGCAAUGUGGGAACCAGAAGCCGCAAUUGCGUUGGCCAUGCCUCAUUGAGCAAAACUGGCAAAAUCCAGUGUGACUUGGAAGAAAAGGCUAGGAAUUGCAGAAAAAGGUGUAUCAAUACCAAUGUCCACAAGAUCAAAAGCUUAUCAGUUAGGAAUGAGUUCAACACCACCUAGGAGCCAGAGAGACUUGGUGCUUUUUGUUGGCUUUUUUUUUUUUCUCCGAAAACAGUUUUUUCUGGGAAACCACCUGCCUGAAUCCUGACAAUUUUUUUUCAUUUAUAUUUCAAGAGAAAUUUCUGUUUAUAUUGCCUUAUGCUAAGUUUAUGAUACAUCUCCCUGGAGCAAUAUAUCUUACACCAAUGUAUGUUUUCAGAAUUUAGUUGAUUCAUGAUAUCUGAAAUAACUUGCUUUAGCCUUUUUGUUUAAAAAAAAACAGCUAGAGUUUUUCUUGUCAUAACUUGUAUUAACUAUUUAAAUGUGUGUUAGAUAAAAGAAUAUGAAGACCUUGCUAGUCACCCUAGGAUCUAAUGUACGUAUAUGCUUCUUUACUGAGAGCUUGUUCUGCAGCUUAUCUGUGCACGCUCUGUCACACAAUAAUGUGGUAUCAUCAGGGUGAUUCUAGUGCCCGUUUUAUGAGACAUUACUGAAGAGAAAUGAGGACAAUGUGCUGAGAUUAUCUUCCCUUUUUAACUCCAGUUUGAAAGUGAAGUUUUGUGCAGGAAACCUACACUGAUAUUCUUAGGUUCCUUGCUGAAAUAUCCAGAAAGGUAAUGUGCUGCUAUAUCCAAGACCAGUCCUAUGGAUUUUUCAGGAAGUGGAUGUACAGCUUUGCAUCCCUUAAGAACAUGCCAGAUAAAGGAUUUGUAGAGCAUUUCCAAUGAUAUAGGAGUCUGUCAGACAGUCAAGGCAAUCAGAAUGCCUGUGAUUCACUGUAUGGUUCUCUCACACACGAAGUAAUAGAUGAAACCAGACAGCCUACACAUCUAAGGAAUACUUUUCGGGAAAUGACAAGGAAAACCAAUGGGGAAAAAAUCAGGGAAAGAUAUCUUUACCAGCCUAGCUAACUAAAAAGUCCAAAUAUAGUUACAAGAGUUAGGAAAGUACAAUAAUGUCAAAACUGAAGCUCCAUAGAAGCAACCCACCCUUUAUCCUUGCCGCAUUGCGUGAGGGGUGAAGAAAUGUUUCAAAACUUUCCAAGCUCUUGCACAUGAGGAAUGACACACUCACAGCAGAACGAUCCCUUGACUAGAACUGGGUUUGCACUGUGUUGGCACAGAAUCAUUAACUUUCAACUCAAGCUUUCUUCUUGGUUAAGAGUUUGCAGAACAAGAACUCUUGUACUGUAAAUUUCUCAGAUGUGACCCAAAAUGAACUCAUUUCUGAGAGUAGGCUCUUCUACUCUGACAACACUGGGUGGCAUUGUGCAAUAUGUAUACAUUCUAAAGUAAUAGAAUAUCUAUUCAGAUUUUUAAAAGUUUAUUGUCUUCUGCCCUUCCAGCCCUCAGAUUGUAAAAAUACUGGAACUCAUAGCUAGUUUGGAUACACACACUUGUGCAGCAGUUUUAGCUCCUGAGCACACAGAUGGACAUGAUGUCUUUAUUUCUACCUCUCAAAGGAAGUGUUCACGUCUUUGUGUAUAAUUAGCUCCACUGUGAACAAGUCCUGAGAAGGAAAAGGCCUGGUUAUCUUGUUAGACUUGUGGUUCAGCAGGGUAGGGGUGUAGUGAGGUAGAAGAGAGGGUUUUGCACUUAGUCAUAAGUGGUGCUGGAGGCAACUAAAAUCAUGAGUAUGGGCUGGCUGUGUGUGGGAUACCAUUACCAGCAGAGAAGGAGAGAUUCACAGCCCAAGAAUGGUUUCAGAGAAAUGCCGCAGGGUGGAAAUUCCAUUCCCUUUUGAGCUCUGGACCAAGGGGCUCGUUUCCCAUUAGGGAACAAGAAAGAAGAUGAAAAAUUAAUUUCUGUGCAGAGAAACAACACCCAUGUGUCAGAUGACACAACUAGUCACAGAUGUUAAUGACAUUCCUGAUGAUAAGAGUGAAAUUCUGUUUUCCUUUCAGUUAUUUGGUAUUUUAUAGUAUCUAGCGAGUAAGCUUUGGCAUGAAAUGCUACAGAAGAGGCACAUAAGCAAGUUCAGUAUAAACACCUAUAUUUAAGGAAAUCAAUUUAGUUGAUAUCUAAAUAAUUUGAUAAACAAAUUAGAAAUAAAAUUAGAUGACUUAGCUGUCUUUUACUGUUAUCUCUGUGGUUUUACCUCAUCUAAUUUUAACAUUUGUUUCUCCUCUGUUGUUGUCUAAAGUACAACAUAAUUGGUAGGACCCACAAUAAAGACAAGCAGCUAUUUAAGUUGUAAGCUCUUUUUAAUAGGAUGCUAUUUCUUAGGAAACAGGGCUUAAAAAUCUUUUUAAUUAAAGAAGGAGGAAAGAAUACUGAUAAACUAGAGCUCUGGUCCUGUAACAGUAACAUAUAUUAGUUGUUUUAUUUGCAUUAUUUGACUACAUACAAAAUUUGUAAUGGUAAGAAUAUAUAAAACUACAUCUCCACCUGUCUAUAUAAAACUACAUCUUCACUCCAUCACAACUACACAUGUAAUGAUGUUGAUGCAAAGAUACUUGCACAAAAAUAUAUUGUUUAUUAUAAUACUGUACAGGUUUAAUUGAUUUGAUAAAGAGUAAUUGGAGCCAUACUGGAAAUGGCUAACUUCCCAUAAAAUAGCAAAAUGUUUGAAAUGCUGUGCCUUCUCAUCACAAGAUCCUCAGGGCAGGGGCUUUCCUUAUUUAUGUUUGUACAGAUUUUAUUUAGGAAAAUGAAGCAGAAUUAUUUCCACUCUCAGUUGUAGGCCCCCAAUUUGACAGAAUGACAGAAGGAAGGGACUUCUGUGGGGCUGUUCAGACCAUCUGUGUCAGAAGUCAAGCUGCUGCCCCAUUUUAGGUAGUCUGAAUUGCUUUACAGAAGAUUCCCAUCUUUCCCCAUUAAUAUAUAUAAUUUACGAAGCCUGCUCACCUGUAUAGAAACUUAAUGUAUCUGCAUAUAAAUUGGACACUACUAUUAAAAUUUCUUUCUGAAAGACCAAGAAAGUAUAGGUAUGCACUUCACAGGCAUGAAAUAAUAAAAGCCACUGCAUCAUUUUUACUCUACUGUAUUUAUUUGCAAUUGAACCUAGUCUUGUACAUUCUCUUAGUGCUGUCCUCCAUAUGUACGUUUAGAUGGCUGAGAAUAUAAACACAUUACCUUAGUUCUUCUUUUAAAAUCUGACACAACAUUAAUGAUUCACUUUUCUACAUAAACCCUUCCCUACCCCCCCCCCCCCCCACCCCCCCCAAAGAAAGAAGUGGAAUUUGGAAACAUAGGAUUAGAAAUUACUUUUUGAGUCACUCAGUCUAGUUCCCUUUUAUAGGCAGCCAUGAAAUCUCUUUUGUAAAGUAGUAAGGUGCUAUCCUAAAGCCAGUGAGGUUAUUUACCCCAUUACGCCUCUUGUGAGGCUAUUUUGGAACCUUAGCUUCCUGAUGGUUGGAAAUUUUCUUCUAGUUUACAAUCUAAAUAUGUCCAUUCCACAUAUCUGCUUGUGUCUUGACUAUCAUUAGCCUUAGUCUAAAUAAUAUCUUACUUCACCUCUGAAGGGUUUCUCUAACUAAUCCCUUUCUAGAGAAUUGAAUUUGUUCUUUUUUUCCACACAAGCCAAUUCUUUUAGUCUCCCCUUGCAAUACAUGGUCUUUAUUCCUUUCAUCAUCCUAGGAGCUCUUUGGAUUGUCCUGUCAGAAAAGUAUAAAUAAUUUCCAAUAGUAGCAAGAUUCAAAGGGUAAGAUAGGAAGCCAGGCUUUUUUUAAUCUGUCUAAAAAAAACCCCAACAAAAUAUUUAUACCAGUCUUGCUGCCAACCCUUAGUUUUGUAGAAGGAUGGAUUUUCACAACAGUGGCACAGUGGGAUAUUUUGAACUUCUAGAAGGAAAGCUGCUAUACAAAAAGUAUAUGAGGAAUUUAUUUGUUAUAGUGAAACCUUCAUGAUGAGAAAACAUUUGCAAUAGAACUGAAUGAAGAUCCGAAUUUAUCCCUGCUUAUCGUACAAUGUGCAGAUUUACAUCACUUGACAGAGAACUCCAUCUAAGAGUUGUAUUUUUCUAGGCCAAGAAGGACUAUUCUGAAGUUCUGCUCCCACCUGGUUAAUAUAAACCAACUUACUUGACUUUACUGAUAGCAGGUGUCUAAUUUUGAUGCAUGUGAACAACCAUAUUUGUUCCAUAGCAAAAGUUAUAUAGGUAUUGAAAGGUGUGAUACAACUUCUGUAAAAUCAUGGAUGGACAAUAUUAAAGUCUACAGUUAUUUCAUUGUGAUUUUAUGAGUUCUGUUUAGCUUAAAUUGAAAUGCUUAUGUAUGUGUACGCAUAAAAAUAUAUAUUUAUAUAAAUUUAAAGAAAAACAUUUUUUUAUCUUAGAACACUAUAAAGCCAGAAGGAUUUUA
Molecule: long non-coding RNA, 4902 nt
Organism: Grus americana (Whooping crane)
Lineage: Eukaryota; Metazoa; Chordata; Aves; Gruiformes; Gruidae
Exons: 3
Source: RefSeq, a predicted model, not a curated record